AACGGAUGGACUGACUGGCUGAAGGACGAACGGAUGGACUGACUGGCUGACUGGCAGGCUGGCGGAUGGACAGACUGACUGACGGACGGUGUCCUCCCCUCGCCCAGACCCAGGCCAGCUGGCUGGCUGCGUCUCAGGGUGCCCCUGGCAGAGGAGAAGGUCCCCGAGCAGCCCAAGGCAGAGAGUGGCUCCUCGCCUCCAACACCUCAUUUUGUGUUUAUUUGUGGGCCGGCUUUUCCACAUCUUGUGUCACUAAAACCUGAACAGAAACCAGCAUGUUUCUCGACAUCUAAGGAUGUGUAGUAUUCUCUCUACUGGAAGAAAUGACAAUGAACUUGCAGCAGAAGAUGCAAAAGCCUCCUUUUACUUUUGAAACAAGAUUUGGUUGCAAUCCAAAGAAAUGCGUAUGGAAGAAAUGGAAUCUCAAAGGCUUUAAAUCAUACUAGUAAAGAUGCUACUGCUAACAUACAAGCCAGUGCAUCUGCCAGUUCUGCAGCAGCCAGUGGACUUUUUUCUGUUUUGAAAUACAUGACCUUUCAGUUACACAAAUAUCAACAUCUGAAGGCAUCAAAAUGGCCAAGGACAAGUCUGAUCAGCCUCUUUUUAUAGUCUAUAGCACCUCCCAGUGUCUACUAACACGUUUAAAAGAAAGUAAGCCAGCUUACCAAAAAUGGAAGUAAGCUCCUCACUUAAGGCAUCCUGAAGAGCUUAAGGUCCACUUUGUGCUUCACUUCUAAUGCUGGCUUGUGGUAUUAGGGAGCCACAUCGUUCUGAUGGGGAACCAGCAGCCAUGCAGCUGUAUUCAAAGCCAGAUGCUUCCAUCUCCUGAAGCAGCCACAGGACUGACACCAAGAAAAUCACGAUGGUACUGGAAGGACACUGUGCUUUAGGAGGCACAAAGACGUACCAGCGGUGAUAGCCUUUGUCAUGCUAUUUUUAGAAUAAAGUUUAAAAUUUUACAUACAUGAGAGAUAUCACAGACAAUAGAUUUAAUUCAGAAGUCUCAAAUCUGCAUAGUCUUUUAAUUACUCUUUAGUUGCUUCAUCUUUUUUUUAACAUAAAUUUCUCUCUGUUGGUAGUUUGAAAUAAACAUGCAGUACUUAUUAAAAAAAAAAUCACUGAAUGUAUAUGGGGGUAUAUGAAUAGCUACAUUCUGAUGCAGAUUUAUAUGUCAAUAAACUAUGCUACAACGACAAUAAUCAGAAAAAACAGCAGUGUUUCCAUAAAGAAAUGCCCACCUUCAAAAGAUUUCUACUACUUUUCCUGAAACAGCUUCAACCAGAAAUACCAAUGGUAGAGACCAGGAAACACAAAGAGCCUCCUUUAAUGUCUUCUACCAUCACUUCAAAUUAUUUUAAGUUUCCCUUUCUACAAAUACAAGGGAAUUCAUACCUAAAAUACUAUUGCUGCCCAUGCCCCUUCAUGAAGAACACUACACAGGCUUGUUUAAAAACAGAAAAGGCUUGAGUAACCAGAAACUGAUCCACAGUUUCUGGAUUGUCUUGAACAUGAAUCAGGCUUGCAAGCUUAUCACGCGAUGUUUAAAUAGAAAACGUACUUCGGCUUCAAAAAAUGAAAAUGGACUUUGCCAAGUUCUGCAAUAGUUCUGUCCCAAAAGGAUAGCAUGUUCAACUUAAUAUAAACAGAUCAUCCCACUGGACCCUCCAAGUACUUGUAUUUCACUGUUUUUUAAGUCUGUAACGUUUAUGCGUGUAUUUUCUGCCAGUGCUAAAGUCUGCAAACCUGCUUUGCAAAUUAACCUUAAAGUAUGAGAGCUUGUUCCUUAGGAAACAAACCUCAGUAGCAGACUGCAAAAUAAAUAAAGUCAAUUGGUCAUGCUAGCCUUAAUAUGAGAAAGGAUAUAUUGUAAAGAAACCUAACCUAUAUCUCUACAGUCAAUGCAAUUUAAACAUCUGUGUUACUGAGCAAAACAAAACUGCAAAUAUUCAUGUCACUGCAAACUUAAGUAAUUUAUUGGGGUCUAAACACAGGGGCAGGAGUCUGUUUGGGAACGGUGGAUUGUGAGGUAUUUGUGGCACUGAUUGCUCCAAAUAUUGUAUUUUGAAGACCCCAGUGGCAGGUUUGAGGCAGGCUUUGUUGGCUGCCUGCAGUCCUCAUCUAUCGGAUUGUCCUGUGGGGUGACCUGCAUGGCCUAUCCUUUAAAAAGCACAUUUACCCAUCAUUUGGGCAGGCUGUGGUGACCUGUUCCUGACCCAGCCAUCCCUGUUCAUCCCAUCUGCCCUUCCAGAAAUAUCUCUGGAUUGACAUCAGCUGAGAUGUUUUUUCCUCAAAGGGCCACAAAUCACCUGCAAACAGCAGGUGAGAUUUAUAACAAGCCUCAAAUGUGGGUUCAGGCUGGCUCCCAGGACAACAUUGACAAUUAGUACUUGGUUUCAUGACUAGUUGGUUCUUUGAGUCAGUUUGGAGACAGAUGAGCUCACAAAGGAGAAGAUAAAGCUCAAAUGAGCAGACAGGAAAAUGUCUGUCUGUUCAGUGUUCCUGUCUUUACCGUAAGUGUGCUGUUUCCUGCAGAGCUGCACUUUUAACUUGGGAAAUUUUGAAAAUCCUUCUCAAAUUCCACACACUGAAAACUGGGAUGAAUAAUUGUUCUUACUGGAUUGUUUUUCUAUAUGCUGUUUACUCACUUUUUACACAUUCUUUUGCCCGCUGCAUGGGUUGCCUUCACUCAGUUGUUGUGCACAAGUUGUAGUUUUCCAAUGCUAACGGAAAUUAAUGAUUUUUAAAAUGUGUUCAUAGAAAGAAAAGGACUAAAAUGUGAUCUUUGUGUCCUGACAGACAAGCCUCCCAACCUUCUUAAAAACACAUUUUAAUUAGAUUAUUCCAUUGGAAAGCAUUCUUUUUAACUUCAAAAAUACAGAAAUGCCAUUUUGAUAAUGAGUUUGAUCAUGAUUUUACUAAGCAGUUAUUUGCUAUUGUAAUCUAUGUCAUAGAAUAUCUGCAGACCACUCUUCUCAUUUUUAAAACAAACCCACUCAUAUAUGCUUCUCAAAUUUUAACAUUAAAAAACCUGUAUGUCAAGAACAGCUGUAGAAUGCAGGGAAGUAUUUUGAGGGUGAACAGAAAUGCUUGUUGUAUUUCUACGUUGGUUUCAUAAAUUAAAUGGAUUUGGCUUACCUGAAUACCCUUCAGUCCACACAGGAAGUAGUUAUGCCACUGAGGUUUGGUUUUGUUAAUCUGAACGUUAUUAACAUUAGUACUGAAAUCCCUGUGAAAACAGAAAAACCUUGAGGCUUUAACUUGUCAGUAAAUUUAGUUUGAAAUAACAUGGCUUAUUACCGCCACCUGCUGAUGAAUAAAACCCUUUCAAUGUCAAUUUUUUUCAGUGAAUGUUUGUUUUAAUAGAUCUUUAUUAAUCAAUUAUAUAAGGAUACUUUAGAAUGGAGCAUAAGAAUUUUUGCUUAAGUUGUAGAAUUUGUUAAAUAAAUUUAGAAAUUAAACUGCUUUUGGCAUCCCUAAUCAAGGCAGCAUGCCUUCCAUCUCAUGUGCAUGUUUUCUUGAUCUCUUUAGAGAAGUGAAAAUCUGAAUAAUUGUAUCUGUCCAACCUAGAAUAUUAUGUAUGCUACAAGCCAUAAUUAAAAUAAUUUAGUUUAAAGUAGUUGAUCUGUUUCCUCCAGGAUAAUUCUGGUAAUGGUUUUCCUAAUCCAUCCUCAUUUCAAAAUAAUAAAAAUAGAUGUUUCAAAAGAUUCUCAGGAAAGCUUGCCCCUUCUCCAAGGUUAUGGCAUGAGAUGGAAACCGAUUGAUAAUUAUCCUCCUCUGGUAUUUCUGAAGGCAUUUGAGAGGUAUCAUGUCACAUCUUCUCUGUACAUGUACUUCUCAAUUACAAAGACCUUAUGUGAAGGGGAGGUGUUGGGAACUUCAAAAGACCGUAACUUUUGAAUCUGGUUUUCACCCAAAUAACAUAAAAGGUAUCUGAUCAGCUGGCAUGAUUUAUGAUGAGAAACACAUAUGUGGUUUUCCUUGCAGUCUGUUCUCUGUCCUGCUGUUUCUAAAAGUUAAUGUGAACUAUCACAGUGGAAGAGGGCUAGAGAACAGAUUUUACCAGUUCACGAAACAAGAAUGAAAUAGGAAAUAAUGAUUCUAUGGAAGCUUAUGGAGAAACUGAACUGCUGCCAGUUGCGGGGAUUACAUCAAGAAAGAUGAGCUGAAAGAAGGGAAGACAGGAUUGCGCUUUUAGAAAGAUUGAAAAAUCAGAGGCCAAUCUGAACAAACAGGU
Molecule: long non-coding RNA, 4234 nt
Organism: Columba livia (rock pigeon)
Lineage: Eukaryota; Metazoa; Chordata; Aves; Columbiformes; Columbidae
Exons: 6
Source: RefSeq, a predicted model, not a curated record